UUUAAGCCCUCAUCCAACGUCCGAUACCCCUUCUUCCACUUAUUCUACUCUUCCUUUACAAAACAAUUAUUACCGGUUUAUACCAUAAAUUAGGGAUUUCCUCCCACUAUUCGCGACAUUCAAUUACCUUUAGUACACCGUAACUAAUUUCAUGAGUUACAUUAGAACAAUAACCCCCUAAAAUGUUCAACUACAUAAAUCUCUGGAGAGGUUAUCAUGAGGUUAUCAUCAGGUUAUCAUCUUCCCAGGUUUUCUCCAGCAUAUUGUCUGAAGCAUCCUAGCUUUGGAUGUAGAAGGCGCGGAGAGUUUGGAUUUGUUACCAAUUACCAAUUCUUUUUGAUGUUAUUAAUUCCUUUUGUUUCAAUUUAUAAUAAUCUAUGUAUUUUUUUUGUUUGGAAAUUAAUGACUGUUUUAAGUUUGUGUAGGUCACAAGAGUUCGGUUGAAAGUUUGGGUUCUCCCACAACAGAUGCUGACAAAUGACUGCGAUCCCAACCUAAAAAGGGAAAGCACCUGUAGGCAUUUUGGGUUCAUAGAGCUUCUUUUGCCAUAAUGAAAAUUCACGUACCGGGUAAUUUCUCAAUUGGUACUGUUACAUCCAGCUUUUGUUUAAUGAUUUUUUGGUGUUACCCCCACCAAAAUUGUUGGCGACCAUGGUAUUUUGUGUCUUGCCGAGACAGUAGUAAGAAAGUUGUGGACAAUCACCACCAAUGUCGUGUGCAAUCUGUUCGCAAAAAGUCUCCAUCGAGUUUGCAACUCUACUACGUACCAGCAGCUGAACCUAAUCGAUUACCACUUUUAUUGGUGUGCCAAAUUCGAAAAUGAUGAUGGAGGUCGCGUACCUAGGUAAUGCAGUUGUAAUUUUAUUUAUCUUCUGUAAACACAUGAUUUUGACAGCAUGGGUGUGCCCUUAGUAAAUGGUGGUUGUUGUAUAAUAAAAGUCAUAUUUUAAGGAGGUUGUCCACUUGAGGUACACCUUAAGCCAGCUUCUCCUAUAAAAGGAGGUUUCCCAAGAGGAAAGAGGGUAGAGCUUAUAGAAUACUUUAGAAGAGAUGGAAAGAAUUCUCCAGAGAAUGAUAUUGUGUAUUGGGAUUAGUCUCCUCAUUACCCUAUGAUAAUUUAUGGAUGUUUACACCUUCCAAUGUAUAUCUACAUAUUCAUCCGUACUAAUGUACUUGCACAUAGAAGGAUUUUUCUUUUUUUACCAAUGUAGUGCAUGUUGGGAUUUGAAGUUGAAGAUCAACAGUAUCCGACUUGUACAUGCGGGAGAGAAAUGCAGAGCUUCACCGUUACCCGAAUCCGCCAUGAUUAUGGUUGUCAAUCUUCAAACUGUAGCACUCCAUUCAAUUUGGUAAUACACGUGUACUGUGUAAUAAGUAUAAUUGUAUUUAGUUAACUGACGC
Papaver somniferum (opium poppy) is the source of this 1401-nucleotide long non-coding RNA. RefSeq lists it as uncharacterized. The record is from RefSeq and is a predicted model, not a curated record. NCBI's taxonomy places the organism in Eukaryota, Viridiplantae, Streptophyta, Magnoliopsida, Ranunculales, Papaveraceae. The transcript has 4 exons.